RNAcentral lists this non-coding RNA (80 nucleotides) under uncultured eukaryote. The record is from RNAcentral.
UAUGUGCCCAAAUAGAAAACUUGUAUCGGUUCUAGCCCUGGUUGCGAUAUCAAAUGCAAAUCUGGAGGUAAAGGAGGAGU